UACGUAGGGUGCAAGCGUUGUCCGGAAUUAUUGGGCGUAAAGAGCUCGUAGGCGGUCUGUCGCGUCGGAUGUGAAAAUCCAGGGCUCAACCCUGGACCUGCAUUCGAUACGGGCAGACUAGAGUUCGGUAGGGGAGACUGGAAUUCCUGGUGUAGCGGUGAAAUGCGCAGAUAUCGUAAGGAAGACCAGUGGCGAAGGCGGGUCUCUGGACAGUUCCUGACGCUGAGGCACGAAGGUCAGGGGAGCAAACGGG
Molecule: ribosomal RNA, 253 nt
Filed under: uncultured bacterium
Lineage: Bacteria
Description: partial 16S ribosomal RNA
Rfam family: Bacterial small subunit ribosomal RNA
Source: RNAcentral